CCUGGCGGCACUAGCGCGGUGGUCCCACCUGACCCCAUGCCGAACUCAGAAGUGAAACGCGGGAGCGCCGAUGGUAGUGUGGGGUCUCCCCAUGCGAGAGUAGGGAACUGC
RNAcentral lists this ribosomal RNA (111 nucleotides) under Salmonella enterica subsp. enterica serovar Derby. The record is from RNAcentral. Lineage: Bacteria; Pseudomonadati; Pseudomonadota; Gammaproteobacteria; Enterobacterales; Enterobacteriaceae.